This is a long non-coding RNA of Homo sapiens (human), 523 nucleotides long. The record is from Ensembl. Lineage: Eukaryota; Metazoa; Chordata; Mammalia; Primates; Hominidae.
CUGUACUAUUCACUGUCUUCAACAAAAGUCAGCUAUUCCAGGAAACUCUCGUCCAGAAAGAUAAAAAUUGAGAAUGAGACAUCAAUCAAUAUGCGGAAGAUUUACAUGGUUCGGUCUGGAAGGGUGGGACAAUUCGAAGGGUGAGGAGAGAAGAGGAGCUUCCGGGUCAUAGGUGGUCAGGAAGAAGUCAAAUCUUCUAGAGGAGGUAGGUCACUCCUGCCCCUUAACGCCUCAGUCCAGCUCUCCUCUAGGACCUCAGAGACUCCACUUCGCCCAUUUGCCAGUCAGUUCUUGCACUUUUCCACGGUGGAAAAUAUUCUUAUAUUGCUGCCAGUGCAGAAUCAACCACUGACCUACCAGAAUCCACCAUGGACCUGGAGUCACCCACAGAUGUGUACCUGGAGAACACCCAGGCUUUCCAAAAUGAAGCAAAUUCUCCAUUAGCUGUGAUGAUCACUGCUAUCCACUACUUUCUAAGAAGAUUCUAUGCUUUUGAGCAUGCCUACCACUACACUAUAGGAGA